Long non-coding RNA from Esox lucius (northern pike), 2356 nucleotides. The record is from Ensembl. NCBI's taxonomy places the organism in Eukaryota, Metazoa, Chordata, Actinopteri, Esociformes, Esocidae.
CCAAGGUUUGCUGGAUGAGGGAGAGAGAGAGACCAAGGUUUGCUGGAUGAGGGAGAGAGAGAGACCAAGGUUUGCUGGAUGAGGGAGAGAGAGAGACCAAGGUUUGCUGGAUGAGGGAGAGAGAGAGAGAGACCAAGGUUGCUGGAUGAGCGACAGAGAGAGAGAUGCAGCAGAUGAUAGGAAAGAUAAAACAGACACCAGCACAAUUAGGCGUUCCUGCUGUGUCUCUCACUGAAGCUGGUUCACUGGCCAGCUGUAAGCUCCAGCCUCCCCUACUGCACACUGCAGAUAGCUUCAUGACGGCUCUGUGCACAACUGCGCAUACACACACACACACACAACAGCCCCAGCACACACAUUGCAGCGUUCAAGUUAGCUCAGAGCAGACACUGCAGCUUUCAUGUUUACACAGUUCAGUCCUGCAAACAUGCGCACACACACACACACAUACACACACACACACACACACAUAUAUUCUUUCUGCAGUACUGAUAGCGCUGGGGCGUUCUCCUUCAGCAAGCAUGAGUACACACAGUACAGAGGUAGAAAGACAGGAGCGAGAGAGGGAGAGAAAGAGGUAGAGAAAAAGAGGGGGAGGUAGAGUGGGAGGCAAAUGAAGAGAAGAGACACAGACACACUGCACCUGCAGAAAACACAAGUAUACACCCACACAGUUGAAGAGCAUGCUGAACAUUAUCUUUGUGUCCUUGCUUUGCAGUGAACAGCUCUAAUGGGUGGUUUGUAUGUGUCCUCCAGGCUUUGUAAAUAGAACCACCACCCAGGUCCAGUGAGAAUCACCUAUGCAGCGUGACAGCCAGGACAUCCCGCCUCCAACCACAGCUGACCAUGAGGAUGAGUCAUGAGAGGACAUCAUGACAGACAAACGCAUCAGCCAAUCGGGACGUAGGGGCUCCUCUUAGGCACCGAUGAUUGCAGCAAUACAGGCACAGGACAGCAGGUCCAUUAGAGAAACCCACAUAGCCCCGGCAACAGCCCAUGAUAACCAGACAGACAGACAGACUGACUGACUGCAGUGUGUUCACAGGCUUUCCACAGCUCUGUCUGUUUCUGACGUCUAGAUACAUGACAGCCAUGGUUACUUAGAGACCAGCCCUCCACGGAGAGAGGGGGACGCAGUGUACUGCUCAGCAUCUGGAAUGGUCCCUAUCAUUCUUGGACAACUGGUGAACUGUGAUUGGUCAGACCAGGUCCUCUGUGGCUACGCUGUCUGAGUUCCAAGUGUGUGUGUAUGUCGGGGGUGUGUGUGUGUGUGUGGGUGUGUGUGUGUGAGAAGAGAGCGUAUCAAGAUGUCAUGCGUCAUAAGAUGCCGCCCCUCCACUGGAUGUAUUUUAAUGUGCGCUUAAGUGUUAUACAAUUGUACAUGGCGUGCUUCAACAGGUUCUAAAUAUGAUUAUGAUAUUGAGAGAAAAAAAAUAACAGUAUUUUAAUAUAACGCUCUUCUUCCGAGAUGUAUUUGGAUGUGCAUAUUAUGGCUAUACGACCCCACUGAGUCAAUGUGGAUAUCUGUCCUGCUUUGUGUUCAAUAAAAAAAAAAGAUAGGAUAAAAAAAUAAUAAUAAUCCACAUCAAUAGCCACACCAUCGUAGUACUUAGAACACAGGCCUAAUAUGCUGCUUCAUUCUGAGUGGGUUGUGAGCUGGUGUGGAUAUUGGGUCAAAGUUCACGCAGUCAAAGUUCAGCCAAUGUGCACACAUAACAUGAUGCACAGUAGAUGCCACAUCACCAUGAAGGUGAAGGAAAGGUCAGGCCCUAGGGCCCGGGCUAAUGUCCUCUCUCACGGUACAUCUCAUCACAGACCCCCAUUGAUAUCGCCGCUGUUCUCCAUCACCGAAUGCAAGGCUGCUUUUACCAUAGAAGUAACUGGGACACGACUCGGAACGGAUUCUUAGCACUGUCUCUAUCCUCCCAGUGUGUUCGUAACGUAGCCUCCAUCUAACUACAGCAUCCGGUCAGCUGACACACUCAGCGAGCAUCCAGACAGGAGCAAGUCACCCCACCGCCAAACCUCUCGUUGUUCUAUUGCUCUCAUUAUUUAAUGGUGUACAUAGUAUUUGACGCUGUUUAAAUGGAAGACGUGAUGUACUAAUAUAAUUGUGUAUAGUAUUUCCUAGAGAUGUUUAUUUUCUAUGAAAUGUUAUUGCUUAUAAAAUGUUAUUAAAAGAAUCCAUAAAAAAUUAAAAGACUUUUGGGAAUGUCACUGGUUCUAAGUUGAGCAUGCAGUUUCUUUUUCAUGUUUCUCUUGUUUUAAAUCGAUGACACUACAUCACUUUGUUUGAAAUGUUUUUGUAACGCCGAUGUCAAAUAUACCAGCACCUUUCAAUGCUGCUCAGACCAAG